AAGGAGAGAAGAAAAUGGGGGCGGAAGAUGCAAUAGAGGUCAAGAAUCUGAGAAUUAGCCUGAAAUAUUUCCUCUGCAGCAGAGGAUAUGGUGGCAGCCGUUGCCACAGUGGGUCCUUUGUGGCAGGGGCUGUUCAUGGUUUGUAAUGAGACAGCGCCCAGCACCCAAGGCAGGGUGAAGGUGGGCACAGUGAGGAUGGGACCCAGAGCCAAAGCAAGCAGUGCCACCAGCUGGGGCAUCCUGGGGUAGACAGGUAAGGAUGUGCUGCCAUGCCUCCCUGUGAGCCAGGUAUGGCAGUGCCCAGAAAGCAUUUAAAAAGCAUUUGGCUCAGUACCUCAGGGUUCUGGCCGCUUCACCCCAGAUCCCUCAAAGCCUUCCUACUCCUUCAUGACAUGCAGUUUUAGGCUAAAAAUAAUCAGAAGUAUAAUGCAAUCCAGAAGGAUGUUAUUUUUAUUCUUUUUUUUUUCUUUUUUUUCUUUCUUUUUUUGGCUGCUGGGAAUGAAAUCGGACAAGAAAUGUGUUAGGAACAGUGCGUUCCUUUCCAUUGUCACACAAGGCGUGUCCAGAGAGCAAGUGCGGUUUGUUCCUUUCUCUGACCAGGUGUUGCUUAUAAGAUGCACAAGAAAUAUGUUUCAAAUAAAAACCAUAACCCUUAAACAAAAGGUAAUUGUUCUCCAAAUUCAGCCACUUCCAGUGCCCAGCAUGCUCUCUGGCAAUAUGCAGGCUUCCAGUUGCUUUCCAUUUUCUUGGCAGUUGCAUUCCAGCAGGAUUUUAUCCAAGCACUGUUUAUAUGUACAGAAACGGCUCCUAAUGUCUGAGGGCUGAGCCUUAGGAAGCCGCUGUCACUGCCUGGGACCACAUUUGUUCUGUUCCCUGGUUUGUGAGAACUCCAACCCACCUGGGGGCACAAACUGCACUGUGAAAUGACUUCUCAUAUCUUUUCUUACAAUUCCAGCCAUACCGUCAUGGAGGAUCAGAGCUGAGCGGUGCCUGCUGACUGCUACAAUGAGCCACGAUCUUGAAGCCAUGCAACCAGCGCGCAUCUCCAGACCCAUACAGUGGGAGGACCGAGGUCUUCAGUUUGUUUUUAAGGAGGAUUGUUUUGAAGAUUCAGAAAACUCUAUUUUCUGGGGAAAUGAGCUUGGAGGAUAAGGCAGAGAUGGUGGCAGGGUGGACACUGCUGACUGUGUGCUACUGACUUAGCUGUGUGACACAGCACACACGUACUGCAGUGAGAAGAAAUUGAAGCUGUUUCUCUAACACCAGGUGCACGAGUGUGCAGUACAGGAGGCUGUGUGACUGAUGGGCAGAGAUGGGGCUGCACUCACUGCUGGUACUCGGGAGGAGGAGCCUUCCUGAGGUAACAAACUGCUGAACCCCGCUUAAUCCUUCUCAGCCUGAGCAGGUCUCUGCAUGCCUGUCCUGGCUGGGCCUGAGUCUUGAUGCGGUCACUCACGCCAAAUAUACCAUGUCACAAAAACUGCAGCUUGGUACUAAUGUGCAACUGCAAUAAUAUGCAAAGGGUGUUCCUAAGGAAUAAUCAGUUCCCAGAGUGAACUUCUGAUCUGUUGGUUGCACACUGGCACCACAGUGCAUCUGUGCAGUAUGCAUAGUGGCACCUAAGGAUUAACAGUUGAGGCUUCAGGAGAAGGGCACACGUUCCUUACUAAACUUACUGAAUUCUGCAGCAGUCUGAUGUCUAACAAAAUACCUGUGCUUUGGUUUUCAUGGAGCUUUAAUUCCUCAGUUGGGGUAGGUGAUGGGGUGGGCAGAACUGGUGAAGAAUCACCUGAGCUGAAUGCAGUUUUGUUUGACUUGGGGAGCUGUUUUAUGAGAUCAUUCUUGCACCUUAAAUAAUGAACUUAAAAAACCCCAGUGUGCAGUGGUGAGUAUUGGCUCUCCCUUAUAUGGCAGCUAAAACCCAGAGUUUCUACCACAGAUGGUACAGGCAAAUCACAUUAAGAAUUUUGGCUUUUCAGUAGGAUGCCCAGCACAGCUCUGCCCAGACGUGUAGCGAAUCCUUGGCACUGUCCUGAAGAACGCACAGAAAACUACAAAGCGUGAGUUGCUUACACGCUGUUUACGAAUGCAGAAAUAUUUUGCAGUGUUCUCUUUUUGCCUACAUCCAUGACAGGAUUCAAACCUAAAACGAGAGAGAUUCUAGGUGCCCAACCCCAAUUGCUGAGCCAAACCCUCAGCUUGAUGGCAGCAAGGCCUCCAUGGCAGGGGUGGGAUUGUGAGCACAUUUGACUAGUACAGACCAAACGCUGUGUGUAAUUGAGGAAGCCAUCACAAUCAAACAUCUCUGAUCCUUAUCCUGCCCCCUUCAGCUUGAUUCCUUCAUCAGCAUUCACUCACAUCUCUCAGAGGCUGGAAAUAUUACCCGGAGCUCUCCUUCAGCAUUGUACUAUCUAAAACAAGUCCCUGCCUGUAAAGAGCUGUUUUCUUCAAAACGGUCUUUGCUCCCGCCCCCAUGGUUAGCUUGGAAAGCUGGCAGCAAAACUCUGCAUCUUUGAAAUAACUUAAGCUCAGCCCAUUGCUGCCUUCAGUUAGUUGGUUUCACAGUUACCUCUUUGUGAUUCUUCAAGGUAAUAUCUGGCAUACAGCAGCCAACCUGGCAACCAUUUGAAUACAGUGUCUGCUGGAGAAAAAAAGAAGAGGGAAUAUCAUCACUGCAAAGCCUAACCUUCUGAAUUCAGCCUAAAAGAACUAUUGCAUGCCAUCUCGUGGCACCACACUGCUAUUUCCCAGAAACACACUGGAGCUCCAGCCUUGUCAGUGAAGUUUAAUGUUUGAUGGGUUUGCUUAAAAAAAUGGCUGCCAGGGUCCUAGAAAGAGCCUAUUGUAUGGCCAGGCUGAAGCGAUGAAGCAUUCCUCACCGGUAACACUUCACCCAUGUUUGUGCUCUGACUUUGUAGCCUCAGCAGCUGAAUCCUGGCACUGCAGCAGAGACUCAGUCUGCAGAUUCCACCUUUUCAGUGUGCAUGAGUGAUUACUCGAGCAGAGCUGUAGCUGCACUUGCAACAAGCAUCUCAACCACCGGCCUCAGAGCAGCCUUCUGCAGAACAGGAUGCUCCACCUUACAAUAAUGGCUUCUUAGCUGGGAGGUACAGCUGAAGUUCUGCACCACCGAAUCACUUCCACAUAUGGAGCUGUGUUAUCUUCAGCAGAACCGCUUCUGGCUACACUGAAACACCGCUUUGCUUCCAUUACUCUCAUAAUCAUCACAGCGUGGAUAUAUAAAGCAGUCAGGAAAGGACCUUAAAAUACCUAACAAAAAUGCAUGACUUCAGCCUAAGCAUUCUGUUCUAUUUUUUGGCUACUGGAGACAACUAUGCAACUAUAGAAGUCCACAGCUUGCAGUUGGAAAGCAUAAAACAGUCCAGCUAACUUGAGAUGUUAGUGCAAAGAACAUCAUACCACACUAACAACAGAGAAGGCACUGAGUCAUGAUCAGCAUCCUGGUAACAAGUGCUCUACGUUGGGUAUGUUAUGAAACUUGUAUUUAUACUGCUCUUGGAUUAGAGGAGGAAAGCAGCUUUGUUGAGGACUCCAACUGGGACAGCAUGUAAAGAAGUUCCAGGAAAGGCUGUUAGGCCAGUGAGGCUUUAUGAAGCUCAGGAGUAGCAGAUGUUCUUUGUAUGCAGCAAAGAAAAGAGGGAACAUCUUCUUAUUCCAGAGUUUAAUUUUGUUAUAUGUAAUGCUGGAGUUAGAAAAUAAAAUAAAUGGAGAGAUACACUGUGAGAAGCACUGAGCCCUGCACUUAACAAGGAAGAAGGACUUCAAACACCAAGCAGUCGAGAAAAUAAAUUUGCUAGCAGUGUGAAAAAGUAUUUGGGGUCUUUAACAGAUCUCUAAAUAGAUAAUGGAUGAUGAGGGAACAUGCACUGGAGGGCCAGAGGAAAGACAAGUGCUUAAGGGAUAAAGAUAAGACAGGACAACAAAUAUAUUAGAUAAGGCUGCCACUUGAACUAAUUCGAAAUGUUGGGAUCAGCAAUCAAAUGCAGCUACUGUUCCAGAGAGUGACCAGGCACACUGCAUCGCCAACAGGAGACAAGCUCCAGAUAGCUGCUGACAGCUAGAAAUCAGACUUCAUGUGUAAGUGAAAUUCCAGUCAUACAGGAGGACUGGAGUAGUGUGGAAGCAUCUGAUCCCAGGAGCUGUGGCUGUCAGCUGGAACACAGCACACAUACCAGGCUACACAAAGUGUAUCAUCUGCUCUAAUUCCACAGUGUUCAUCCCAGCAUCGGUUCCAAACAAACAGGAAUUACUCGCAAGCAGAUUUUGUGACUCAUUGCUACAGCGGAUCUAACCACUGUGGACCCUGCCUGCAUGCCAAAGUCUGGCCUUCCUUCUUGGAUCCAUUCCUCAGGAGAAGAACCUUUUUACUGAUGUGUAGCAGAGAGCUGAGCUAAAACCAGAAAAAACUUACAGUAUUAAACAAAGAAAUGUGCCAUUUUGUCACACAGGGUGAAAUUCCAGGAAUUUAUUGCUGUACGUUUGCUUAAUCCAUUAAUUUGUCUUACAGUCGUCAUGAAGUGCCAAAUUGUGUGCUACAUGUAACAUAGAUCCUGUUAUUCCCUUCCGAAUGCCAUUUUACAGUGGGUGUGUGGAGCAACACAGCAGCAGUCACAAAACAUGGCUCGAGCUUCUCUCAAGAGCUUAAAAAUAAAGAUUUGUAUACAAGCUGAAUACCGACAUGUUACUUAACAGGUCACCCAGCAGUUCUAAUAGGAAUAUCUUCAGGUGGAAGUUUGCGCUGUUAAAAUUUACGACUCAGACCAAACAUCCUCAUCCUCACUGCGGUAACAAGAUACUUGCAAAGACAAGAACUAUGGUAUGUAAAUGUCGCACGCAGGAACUGCUCCAUUUCUAUCAGAAGCAAAAACUGCUACUUAGAAGCAAGGAGAGGCCUAGCUAAGGCGAUCAGCCUGUGUUAAAAACGUACACAUCCAGGUUUGGCAGUGGAAUUCUGUUGACCACCUUGAAUGUUUCUUUAUUGUGGGUUUUUUUUGGUUAAGUACAAGUACUCUUUCCCUCCCACCAAGAACACUUUAUAAAUCCCCUUAUUUUCAUUAUAGCUCCAUAUUAUUUACAGGACUCCUAAAGAUUAAGUACAAACUAGUAUGAAAUUAAUGAUAGCUUGCUCUUCAAAUAUGUAUCCCAUGGCUAAAUAAAUACCAAGCCAUUCUGA
Coturnix japonica (Japanese quail) is the source of this 5194-nucleotide non-coding RNA. Lineage: Eukaryota; Metazoa; Chordata; Aves; Galliformes; Phasianidae. The record is from RefSeq and is a predicted model, not a curated record.